Molecule: long non-coding RNA, 1048 nt
Filed under: Bemisia tabaci
Lineage: Eukaryota; Metazoa; Arthropoda; Insecta; Hemiptera; Aleyrodidae
Description: lncRNA ENSSSA1UGG002860
Source: RNAcentral
GGUCAUUAUAAUUAUUUUACAAAGUACAUUGUACUUUAUGAAUGUACUGAAACUCCCUGGGGAGAGGAUGAUCGAUUGAGGGUCAAUAGCAUGUUUGGCCAUUUCCGACGAGGGGUAGUGCACAGUGCGGCGCGGUCCCGUUCCAGUUAAUAGACGAAAUGAUGAAUACACUAGAAGUUAAUCUGGACAGUUAAUCUUUCCAUUGUGCAGUGGCUACUCGGCUUUUGUUAAUAUGAUAGAUUGCUUUUUCAUUAAGAUGUUUCAGUCAUUUUACGUAAUAAAUUGCCUCUCUCGUCUCCCCUCCCCUCCCCCCACCCCUAGCCGGCCGUCUCUCGUUUCAGCUUUGACUUUUUUCCAUCUCGUGCUUUUUCCUGCCCCGAGUCUGAUUUGUAGCCUUUGUAGCGACAGGGAUUGGAUUUAACAGGCUGCGCCUCGCCUUAUCCCUUUGAGACGAUCAAAUAAAAGGGCCACCGUCGUGCGGGUGCCUUUGUGAGCAAACUGUGAUCCGAUCCGAAUUUGUACGACUAAUGGAGCUUUUAAUCAAACCUCGAGAAAUCUCGCCAUUAUUAUACGGAAGACUUGGUUUUUAGUCACACUUGUUCCCAUAGUCUUAGAACGUGCAAACGUGGGCUACAGCAAUGCAUAAGCGUGAGCUAAAAAGUAAUCUUCCUGGAGAGCAUCUACCGAACUUUGACACUAUACCUUGAAAGCCUUUUGUUCUCCUUUUCGUUUCUUGUUUUCGACUCGCCACUUGCAUCCAUCGAAAUAAUAUAGGUCUGCCCAAUGUAUGCAAAACAAUAUGUUGACUAUUCUUUUCGUGAUUAAACAUGGUUGUGUUUUCCACGGGUCUUUUGGAAACCUCCUGGGUCUUGAAAUUAACUUGGGUGCAAUUUUCGAGAGUAAUUGACAAAUUCUGGAAGAUGGGGAUAAUAUCGAGAUACUUGUUGGUUAUUUGUGGUGGUUUCUUCGGUGCGAUGUUCAUGAGAGAGAAUAGUGGCUUAAUGUAUUUAUUUACGCAAGAAUCUUUCUUGGAUUAACAAGUGUUGAC